AAGUCGUAACAAGGUUUCCGUAGGUGAACCUGCGGAAGGAUCAUUAGAAAGUCUGGCGGUAAACGCCCUACCUUCAAACCACUGCGAAACCACCCGUUGCUUCGGCGGCUGUUCCCCUCCGGCGUCACAGCCGGCUGGGGGGCGUCAGCCCGCCAGAGGCCCAAAACCAAACCAUUUGUAACUGUCUGUCUGAAUCAUAAAUAAAUCAAAUUUAUUAAAA
RNAcentral lists this unclassified non-coding RNA (220 nucleotides) under plant metagenome. Its description in RNAcentral is "partial contains small subunit ribosomal RNA and internal transcribed spacer 1". The stretch from base 1 to 46 matches the Rfam family "Eukaryotic small subunit ribosomal RNA", at positions 1786 to 1831 of the family's 1831-position model. The record is from RNAcentral.